GACGAACGCUGGCGGCGUGCUUAACACAUGCAAGUCGAACGGAAAGGCCCUGCUUUUGUGGGGUGCUCGAGUGGCGAACGGGUGAGUAACACGUGAGUAACCUGCCCUUGACUUUGGGAUAACUUCAGGAAACUGGGGCUAAUACCGGAUAGGAGCUCCUGCUGCAUGGUGGGGGUUGGAAAGUUUCGGCGGUUGGGGAUGGACUCGCGGCUUAUCAGCUUGUUGGUGGGGUAGUGGCUUACCAAGGCUUUGACGGGUAGCCGGCCUGAGAGGGUGACCGGCCACAUUGGGACUGAGAUACGGCCCAGACUCCUACGGGAGGCAGCAGUGGGGAAUAUUGCACAAUGGGCGGAAGCCUGAUGCAGCAACGCCGCGUGCGGGAUGACGGCCUUCGGGUUGUAAACCGCUUUCGCCUGUGACGAGGCGUGAGUGACGGUAAUGGGUAAAGAAGCACCGGCUAACUACGUGCCAGCAGCCGCGGUGAUACGUAGGGUGCGAGCGUUGUCCGGAUUUAUUGGGCGUAAAGGGCUCGUAGGUGGUUGAUCGCGUCGGAAGUGUAAUCUUGGGGCUUAACCCUGAGCGUGCUUUCGAUACGGGUUGACUUGAGGAAGGUAGGGGAGAAUGGAGUCCCUGGUGGAGCGGUGGAAUGCGCAGAUAUCAGGAGGAACACCAGUGGCGAAGGCGGUUCUCUGGGCCUUUCCUGACGCUGAGGAGCGAAAGCGUGGGGAGCGAACAGGCUUAGAUACCCUGGUAGUCCACGCUGUAAACGGUGGGUACUAGGUGUGGGGUCCAUUCCACGGGUUCCGUGCCGUAGCUAACGCUUUAAGUACCCCGCCUGGGGAGUACGGCCGCAAGGCUAAAACUCAAAGGAAUUGACGGGGCCCGCACAAGCGGCGGAGCAUGCGGAUUAAUUCGAUGCAACGCGUAGAACCUUACCUGGGUUUGACAUGGAUCGGGAGUGCUCAGAGAUGGGUGUGCCUCUUUUGGGGUCGGUUCACAGGUGGUGCAUGGCUGUCGUCAGCUCGUGUCGUGAGAUGUUGGGUUAAGUCCCGCAACGAGCGCAACCCUUGUUCACUGUUGCCAGCACGUUAUGGUGGGGACUCAGUGGAGACCGCCGGGGUCAACUCGGAGGAAGGUGGGGAUGACGUCAAGUCAUCAUGCCCCUUAUGUCCAGGGCUUCACGCAUGCUACAAUGGCUGGUACAGAGAGUGGCGAGCCUGUGAGGGUGAGCGAAUCUCGGAAAGCCGGUCUCAGUUCGGAUUGGGGUCUGCAACUCGACCUCAUGAAGUCGGAGUCGCUAGUAAUCGCAGAUCAGCAACGCUGCGGUGAAUACGUUCCCGGG
Molecule: ribosomal RNA, 1342 nt
Filed under: uncultured bacterium
Lineage: Bacteria
Description: 16S ribosomal RNA
Rfam family: Bacterial small subunit ribosomal RNA
Source: RNAcentral